GUCUUCGUGGUGUAGUGGUCAGCACGCUCGAUGCGUAACGAAGAAGUCCGUGGUUCGAUUCCCGGCGAAGGCG
RNAcentral lists this transfer RNA (73 nucleotides) under Stegodyphus mimosarum. It matches the Rfam family "tRNA". From Rfam's summary of the family: Transfer RNA (tRNA) molecules are approximately 80 nucleotides in length. Their secondary structure includes four short double-helical elements and three loops (D, anti-codon, and T loops). Further hydrogen bonds mediate the characteristic L-shaped molecular structure. tRNAs have two regions of fundamental functional importance: the anti-codon, which is responsible for specific mRNA codon recognition, and the 3' end, to which the tRNAs corresponding amino acid is attached (by aminoacyl-tRNA synthetases). tRNAs cope with the degeneracy of the genetic code in two manners: having more than one tRNA (with a specific anti-codon) for a particular amino acid; and 'wobble' base-pairing, i.e. permitting non-standard base-pairing at the 3rd anti-codon position. The record is from Rfam by way of RNAcentral. Lineage: Eukaryota; Metazoa; Arthropoda; Arachnida; Araneae; Eresidae.